Molecule: ribosomal RNA, 253 nt
Filed under: uncultured bacterium
Lineage: Bacteria
Description: partial 16S ribosomal RNA
Rfam family: Bacterial small subunit ribosomal RNA
Source: RNAcentral
UACGUAGGGUGCGAGCGUUGUCCGGAAUUAUUGGGCGUAAAGGGCUCGUAGGCGGUUUGUCACGUCGGGAGUGAAAACUCGGGGCUUAACCCCGAGCCUGCUUCCGAUACGGGCUGACUAGAGGUAUGCAGGGGAGAACGGAAUUCCUGGUGUAGCGGUGAAAUGCGCAGAUAUCAGGAGGAACACCGGUGGCGAAGGCGGAUCUCUGGGCCAUUACUGACGCCGAGGAGCGAAAGCGUGGGGAGCGAACAGG